This 115-nucleotide ribosomal RNA is filed under the name Carassius auratus (goldfish). Lineage: Eukaryota; Metazoa; Chordata; Actinopteri; Cypriniformes; Cyprinidae. The record is from RNAcentral.
CUUUACGGCCAUACCAGCCUGGCUAUGCCCGAUCUCGUCUGAUCUUGGAAGUUAAGCAGGUUUGGGCUGGUUAGUACUUGUGGGAGACUGCCUGGAAUACCAGGUACUGUAAGCU